CGAAUCCUGAAGUGUUCGUCGGUGCAAUUCAGUUUUGACCGAACAUUCUAUCGUAGGGAGUCUGGAUUUUGGCUUGGAUGACAUGCCCUUAUUAGGGACGCCAGAACGGCCGGAUAGGACACCCACCUGCUGAAAACCCGCAGGAUCAAAACGAUAUCGACAUGGACGGCACAUUUGGGAUUUGU
This 185-nucleotide non-coding RNA is filed under the name Sporosarcina sp. HYO08. RNAcentral's name for it is "6S / SsrS RNA". It matches the Rfam family "6S / SsrS RNA". From Rfam's summary of the family: E. coli 6S RNA was the first non coding RNA to be sequenced, but its function was unknown until recently. It consists of 184 nucleotides that fold into an extended hairpin structure with a large single-stranded internal bulge. The record is from Rfam by way of RNAcentral. Lineage: Bacteria; Bacillati; Bacillota; Bacilli; Caryophanales; Caryophanaceae.